GGGGCGAGAGGGCCAGAUGUUGAUGCAGUUGUGCUUUCCUGACGGUGACAUUCUAGACAAGAAAUGAUGCCCAGAAGCUGCCUGAAGCAUGCUGGGAAAUCCUUGUGAGACUCUGAACACAGAUAGCUGUCCAGUCUUCCCAGCACCACUUAUUGAAGAGACUGUCUUUUCUCCAUCAUAUUUAUUUGCCUCUCCUGUCAAAGAUCAAUUGGCCUGCUGUCUCUAGGAGCUGGCGCCUACCCACAGUCUCCCUCAACAUUGUGUAGAACGUCUCAAGUCUGAAGACAAUUUCACAACUUGUCAACAUCAGCCCUGAGGAUGCCAGCAUUUGAUGUCUUUCCCUGAUUUUCUUUCAAAGGGAAAAACUAUUUUGAGGAUGAGGGUUGUAAGAAACCAGUGUUAUUCCCAGGUACAUUAUAUACCAGGUACUUUACAAGAAUUAAACCAGUCAAUUCUUCAGA
Camelus dromedarius (Arabian camel) is the source of this 461-nucleotide long non-coding RNA. RefSeq lists it as uncharacterized. NCBI's taxonomy places the organism in Eukaryota, Metazoa, Chordata, Mammalia, Artiodactyla, Camelidae. The transcript has 3 exons. The record is from RefSeq and is a predicted model, not a curated record.